GAAAGCCUGACGGAGCAAUACCGCGUGAGGGAGGAAGGCUCUUGGGUUGUAAACCUCUUUUCUCUGGGAAUAAAAAAGAAGGUACCAGAGGAAUAAGCAUCGGCUAACUCCGUGCCAGCAGCCGCGGUAAUACGGAGGAUGCAAGCGUUAUCCGGAAUGAUUGGGCGUAAAGCGUCCGCAGGUGGCAUUGAAAGUCUGCUGUCAAAGAGUCUGGCUCAACCAGAUAAAGGCAGUGGAAACUACAAAGCUAGAGUGCGUUCGGGGUAGAGGGAAUUCCUGGUGUAGCGGUGAAAUGCGUAGAGAUCAGGAAGAACACCGGUGGCGAAGGGGCUCUACUAGGCCGCAACUGACACUGAGGGACGAAAGCUAGGGGAGCGAAUGGGAUUAGAUACCCCAGUAGUCCUAGCUGUAAACGAUGGAUACUAGGCGUUGCUUGUAUCGACCCGAGCAGUGCCGUAGCUAACGCGUUAAGUAUCCCGCCUGGGGAGUACGCACGCAAGUGUGAAACUCAAAGGAAUUGACGGGGGCCCGCACAAGCGGUGGAGUAUGUGGUUUAAUUCGAUGCAACGCGAAGAACCUUACCAGGGCUUGACAUGUCGCGAAUCAGGGGGAAACUUCUGAGUGCCUUCGGGAGCGCGAACACAGGUGGUGCAUGGCUGUCGUCAGCUCGUGUCGUGAGAUGUUGGGUUAAGUCCCGCAACGAGCGCAACCCUCGUUUUUAGUUGCCAGCAUUAAGUUGGGCACUCUAAAGAGACUGCCGGUGACAAACCGGAGGAAGGUGGGGAUGACGUCAAGUCAGCAUGCCCCUUACGUCCUGGGCUACACACGUACUACAAUGCGACGGACAGAGGGCAGCAAGCUAGUGAUAGCAAGCAAAUCCCGUAAACCGGCGCUCAGUUCAGAUCGAAGGCUGCAACUCGCCUUCGUGAAGGUGGAAUCGCCAGUAGUUGCAGGUCAGCAUACUGCAGUGAAUUCGUUCCCGGGCCUUGUACACACCGCCCGUCACACCAUGGAAGCUGGUAGUGCUCGAAGUCAUUACCCCAACCUUUCGAGGAGGGGGAUGCCUAAGGCAGGACUGGUGACUGGGGUGAA
This 1092-nucleotide ribosomal RNA is filed under the name Capsosira brebissonii S23. RNAcentral's name for it is "bacterial SSU rRNA". It matches the Rfam family "Bacterial small subunit ribosomal RNA", at positions 377 to 1484 of the family's 1533-position model. The record is from RNAcentral. Lineage: Bacteria; Bacillati; Cyanobacteriota; Cyanophyceae; Nostocales; Capsosiraceae.